RNAcentral lists this ribosomal RNA (516 nucleotides) under uncultured Staphylococcus sp. RNAcentral describes it as "bacterial SSU rRNA". It matches the Rfam family "Bacterial small subunit ribosomal RNA", at positions 8 to 507 of the family's 1533-position model. The record is from RNAcentral. Lineage: Bacteria; Bacillati; Bacillota; Bacilli; Caryophanales; Staphylococcaceae.
AGAGUUUGAUCCUGGCUCAGGAUGAACGCUGGCGGCGUGCCUAAUACAUGCAAGUCGAGCGAACAGAUAAGGAGCUUGCUCCUUUGACGUUAGCGGCGGACGGGUGAGUAACACGUGGGUAACCUACCUAUAAGACUGGAAUAACUCCGGAAACCGGGGCUAAUGCCGGAUAAUAUUUAGAACCGCAUGGUUCUAAAGUGAAAGAUGGUUUUGCUAUCACUUAUAGAUGGACCCGCGCCGUAUUAGCUAGUUGGUGGGGUAAUGGCUUACCAAGGCAACGAUACGUAGCCGACCUGAGAGGGUGAUCGGCCACACUGGAACUGAGACACGGUCCAGACUCCUACGGGAGGCAGCAGUAGGGAAUCUUCCGCAAUGGGCGAAAGCCUGACGGAGCAACGCCGCGUGAGUGAUGAAGGUCUUCGGAUCGUAAAACUCCGUUAUUAGGGAAGAACAAAUGUGUAAGUAACUGUGCACGUCUUGACGGUACCUAAUCAGAAAGCCACGGCUAACUACGUG